GGGGGGUCACGACUGCAAUACUAACAGCUGUAGCAAACUGGUGCACCUUUUGAUUUUCAAUUUCCAUGUUAGUCUGGCAUACUAUCUUGUAAGGCGCCUACUGCCAAAGCUGUUAUGCAGAAACCAUGGGAGAUGGCAACACCACGACCAACAAUAGAGGCAUCACAACUAACUCCAACAAUGAGAAGCCAGAAUGGCUGCAACAGUACAACCUUAUUGGCAAGAUUGGUGAAGGCACUUAUGGUCUCGUGUUCCUGGCAAAAACUAAAUCUCCUGCAAAUCGUGGAAAAUCAAUUGCCAUUAAGAAAUUCAAGCAGUCCAAGGAUGGAGAUGGCGUCUCCCCUACUGCCAUACGUGAAAUCAUGUUGCUUAGGGAGAUUUCACAUGAAAAUGUUGUGAAGCUUGUGAAUGUGCACAUUAAUCAUGCUGAUAUGUCUCUGUAUCUGGCUUUUGAUUAUGCUGAACAUGAUCUUUAUGAAAUCAUUAGGCAUCACAGAGAUAAGGGUCCCCAUGGUAUCAAUCAGUACACGGUGAAAUCAUUGCUGUGGCAGCUGCUUAAUGGACUGAACUAUCUUCACAGUAAUUGGAUCAUACAUCGAGAUCUAAAGCCAUCAAAUAUCCUGGUUAUGGGUGAGGGAGACGAACAUGGGGUUGUCAAAAUUGCUGACUUUGGACUUGCAAGAAUAUAUCAAGCGCCGUUGAAGCCAUUAUCUGAUAAUGGUGUAGUGGUAACAAUUUGGUAUCGUGCACCUGAGUUACUUCUUGGAGCAAAGCACUACACAAGUGCUGUUGAUAUGUGGGCUGUGGGAUGCAUUUUUGCUGAACUCUUGACUUUGAAGCCACUUUUUCAAGGGGCAGAAGCCAAAUCCACACCAAAUCCCUUCCAACUUGAUCAGCUGGACAAGAUAUUUAAGAUACUAGGCCAUCCUACACUUGAGAAGUGGCCAACACUUGCAAAUCUUCCACAUUGGCAAUCAGAUCAGCAACAUAUCCAAGGGCAUAAGUAUGAGAAUACAGGACUGCAUAACGUUGUGCAUCUCUCGCAAAAAAGUGCUCCAUAUGAUCUCCUGUCUAAGAUGCUUGAAUAUGAUCCUCGAAAGCGGAUAACUGCUGCACAAGCUCUAGAGCAUGAGUAUUUUCGGAUAGAACCUCUACCAGGGCGCAAUGCUUUGGUGCCCUCUCAACCUGGAGAAAAGGCAAUUAACUAUCCCACCCGUCCAGUAGACACAAAUACAGACUUUGAAGGAACAACUAGUCUUCAGCCUCCACAACCAGUAUCUUCUGGAAAUGCAGUUUCUGGAGGCAUGCCAGGUGCUCAUGGAGUGGCUAACAGAUCUGCUCCUCGACCGAUGCCAAUGGGCAUGCAGAGAAUGCAACCUUCAGCCAUGGCUGCUUACAAUAUUGCAUCUCAGGCUGGGAUGGGAGGUGGAAUGAAUCCAGCUGGCUUGCUGAUGCCACGGGGUGUAGCUGCACAGUCUCAUCAGCAGCAACAUUUGCGGAGGAAAGAACCACCAGUAAUGGGUAGUGGAUACCCUCCACAGCAAAAAUCCAGGCGCCAAUAAGCAAAUGACACAUUGAUUGGGAGCUAUCGUCAAACUUACGUUGGAACACAAUCCUCUCCCUGUAGAAGGUUUCUAUUAAGGGCAUCCAAGGCCAAGUCCAAAUCAUGAAGGUUUUUCAAUCAUGCCAUGUAUGUGACAUUUGGUCAUCUGCUGUAUUGUAGACCUUUAUCUAACUUGGCAGCCUUAUCUGUGCUUGAGGAGGUAGCUUAGUUGAUGCCUAUCAGGAGGAAUUUUAGAGCUACAUAUCCAAAUUGACCAGUUCCUUGAUAUCGGUGGACUAAAGGGAAUGCCAUUUCUUGCCCUUUAAGGGAUGUUUAUCAGUGUAUGAACUUAAUAUGAGACAAAGGCUUCUCAUCGUUGCUCUUGAAGCAGAAUAUACGCAUUCAUUUUAGUUCAAUAAGGUUGAAUUUCAAUAAGCUGUCUCUCUGUUUGUGCUAGAUCAUGGUUGGUAUUUUCAUCUUCAUUGCCAGUCUCUUUCAAUCGCUAGACUUUCUGCAUGUUUCAAGGGAUACGUAGUUGUGGUAUUUUACCAUCCAAGUUAGAUUGGAAAUACCUUAUAAUUAGAUCAGCAGGAAGGCCUUCUAUGUCUCUUUAAGCAAAAAGGCAUAAACUUUAUUUUUAUUAGGAAUGGCAAGCAACAGGGUGAUCAAGAGAGGAGAUCGCUCCCCCUGUUUUCACGGGGUGAUCAGGAGUAGGAUCACUCCUGUUUCCAUCCUGCAGGGAUCGGAGAGUGAUCAGAAGCUGGGAUCGCUCGUCCUGAAUACACCUUGUUGGGAACAGGGUUGGGUGGCAUCUUUUCAUGGGAAAUUAUUGUCUCAGCAUCUAGUUUGGGCUGUCAGGGGCUUAUUAGUCCAGCCCACGGGUGUCUUGGUUUGCAUAACUCCAUCUCCAUCUCGGGUUCUCCACAUGAGAGUCCAUGGGAUCUUUUGCAAC
Molecule: unclassified non-coding RNA, 2495 nt
Filed under: Hevea brasiliensis (rubber tree)
Lineage: Eukaryota; Viridiplantae; Streptophyta; Magnoliopsida; Malpighiales; Euphorbiaceae
Source: RNAcentral